Molecule: ribosomal RNA, 559 nt
Filed under: Escherichia coli
Lineage: Bacteria; Pseudomonadati; Pseudomonadota; Gammaproteobacteria; Enterobacterales; Enterobacteriaceae
Description: bacterial SSU rRNA
Rfam family: Bacterial small subunit ribosomal RNA
Source: RNAcentral
GGUGAGUAAUGUCUGGGAAACUGCCUGAUGGAGGGGGAUAACUACUGGAAACGGUAGCUAAUACCGCAUAACGUCGCAAGACCAAAGAGGGGGACCUUCGGGCCUCUUGCCAUCGGAUGUGCCCAGAUGGGAUUAGCUAGUAGGUGGGGUAACGGCUCACCUAGGCGACGAUCCCUAGCUGGUCUGAGAGGAUGACCAGCCACACUGGAACUGAGACACGGUCCAGACUCCUACGGGAGGCAGCAGUGGGGAAUAUUGCACAAUGGGCGCAAGCCUGAUGCAGCCAUGCCGCGUGUAUGAAGAAGGCCUUCGGGUUGUAAAGUACUUUCAGCGGGGAGGAAGGGAGUAAAGUUAAUACCUUUGCUCAUUGACGUUACCCGCAGAAGAAGCACCGGCUAACUCCGUGCCAGCAGCCGCGGUAAUACGGAGGGUGCAAGCGUUAAUCGGAAUUACUGGGCGUAAAGCGCACGCAGGCGGUUUGUUAAGUCAGAUGUGAAAUCCCCGGGCUCAACCUGGGAACUGCAUCUGAUACUGGCAAGCUUGAGUCUCGUAGAGGGGG